This 504-nucleotide unclassified non-coding RNA is filed under the name Hevea brasiliensis (rubber tree). The record is from RNAcentral. Lineage: Eukaryota; Viridiplantae; Streptophyta; Magnoliopsida; Malpighiales; Euphorbiaceae.
UUAGGAACUGGGUAGGUUACUGAUUUGGUUAUUUAUUGAGAAUGGGAAAUGAGAAAACCUGGUCAAAUACUGGUUAAACCAAGCAGUUGGAUUGUUAAUUAGUAAACCCAGCCAAAAAGCGCAAAGUUUUGCAAGCAGGAGCAGUUUGGCCCUAGAACUGGCAUAUUUCUUAUCAAGCCCUCCUUCCAGCCCCAAAGAAGCUAAUAAUAGUCAUACUAUUUAUUCAAAAAUUUUUUUUGCUCCUGUGUGCAAUAUGAUAUAUUAAUUUCGAUAUGGUUCACAGAGGGUCACUUUUGGUUGGAUCUCUGGUUCUCUACUCUCUUCCUUCUAUAGUUGUUUGAAAAGAUUGCUAGUGUUUGAAGACAAUAAUUCAUACCCAAUUUGAUUUUCUAGGUAAUUGUGUUCAGAGCUCUGGGAGAAAAACCAUGCUACUUACAUUCUUCCAUUGAUUAAGGACAUUCUUAUACCUUGAAAAGAGAACCAACAUUAUGGUCUGAUCAUUAG